CGCGUAGGCGGCUAGGCAAGUCAGAGGUGAAAGCCCUCGGCUCAACCGAGGAACUGCCUCUGAUACUGCCUGGCUUGAGUCCCGGAGAGGGUAGUGGAAUUCCCAGUGUAGCGGUGAAAUGCGUAGAUAUUGGGAGGAACACCGGUGGCGAAGGCGGCUACCUGGACGGGUACUGACGCUGAGGCGCGAAAGCGUGGGGAGCAAACA
RNAcentral lists this ribosomal RNA (207 nucleotides) under uncultured bacterium. Its description in RNAcentral is "partial 16S ribosomal RNA". It matches the Rfam family "Bacterial small subunit ribosomal RNA", at positions 568 to 774 of the family's 1533-position model. The record is from RNAcentral.